GUGAGGAAUAUUGGUCAAUGGGCGGGAGCCUGAACCAGCCAAGUCGCGUGAAGGAAGAAGGAUCUAUGGUUCGUAAACUUCUUUUGCAGGGGAAUAAAGUGCAGGACGUGUCCUGUUUUGUAUGUACCCUGAGAAUAAGGAUCGGCUAACUCCGUGCCAGCAGCCGCGGUAAUACGGAGGAUCCGAGCGUUAUCCGGACUUAUUGGGUUUAAAGGGUGCGUAGGUGGUUUGAUGAGUCAGCGGUGAAAGUUUGCAGCUUAACUGUAAAAAUGCCGUUGAAACUGUCGGACUUGAGUGUAAAUGAGGUAGGCGGAAUGCGUGGUGUAGCGGUGAAAUGCAUAGAUAUCACGCAGAACUCCGAUUGCGAAGGCAGCUUACUAAGCUACAACUGACACUGAAGCACGAAAGCGUGGGGAUCAAACAGGAUUAGAAACCCCGGAGUCC
RNAcentral lists this ribosomal RNA (444 nucleotides) under uncultured bacterium. Its description in RNAcentral is "partial 16S ribosomal RNA". It matches the Rfam family "Bacterial small subunit ribosomal RNA", at positions 354 to 796 of the family's 1533-position model. The record is from RNAcentral.